GAUGAACGCUGGCGGCGUGCCUAACACAUGCAAGUCGAGCGAAAAGAUGAGGACCUUUGGCCCCCGACGGUGUCAGGCGACGGGAGAGGAACAUGUGGACAAACUACCUCCAAGACAGGGAUAACAUUAGGGAACCGGAGCUUAUACCCGAAAAUAUAUUGAACCGCAUUGGUCAAUAGUUAAAUACGGUGUUUGUGUGACUUAUAGAUUGAUCCGCGCCCGAUUAGCUAGUUGGUAAGGUAAAGGCUUACCAAGGCAACGAUGCGUAGACGACCUGAGCGGGUGAUCGGCCACACUGGAACUGAGACACGGUCCAGACUCCUACGGGAGGCCGCAGUAGGGAAUCUUACGCAAUGGGCGAAAGCCUGACGGAGCAACGCCGUGUGAGUGAUGAAGGUCUUCGGAUCGUAAAACUCUGUUAUUAGGGAAGAACAAAUGUGUAAGUAACUAUGCACGUCUUGACGGUACCUAAUCAGAAAGCCACGGCUAACUACGUG
RNAcentral lists this ribosomal RNA (497 nucleotides) under uncultured bacterium. Its description in RNAcentral is "partial 16S ribosomal RNA". It matches the Rfam family "Bacterial small subunit ribosomal RNA", at positions 28 to 507 of the family's 1533-position model. The record is from RNAcentral.